This 12236-nucleotide long non-coding RNA is filed under the name Daucus carota (carrot). Its description in RNAcentral is "long non-coding RNA (DCAR_LNC000247)". Lineage: Eukaryota; Viridiplantae; Streptophyta; Magnoliopsida; Apiales; Apiaceae. The record is from RNAcentral.
UGUAGCCAACCUACGGGUUUGGAUUUAUAGCGCCCUUCGAGGUAUUUAUCAAUAUACAGAUAUACCUUGGAAAAUAUUGUGUGUUGGUUUAAUAUUUUCAUAUUCUCAGAACCCGACCCAAUAAAUAUCCGGAACACGAAACCCAUUACAGGACUGCAAUUUAUUUAUCCGCAAGAUUCGAAAGAAUUUUAAAUUGUAGUGAGUAUCAUAUUCAACCUCCCCUUCUACGAUACUUUGGACCUAACAAUUGGCAUCAGAGCAGGUUGAUUGAUAUACAAAUCAGGAUCCUUAUCGUACGGGAAAUCAAGACCUAGCUUUUGAUAUUUAAUUAGGGGAAAUGUUCUUCCGGUUUGUGUUGCUGAAUUUGUCUGUAGGCCUAAGUAAGGAUUAUCUGUUGGAUACUGAACUUUGGACUAAGACUUAUAAAUUUAUAUUUGAAAUUUUAAUAAGUUUAUUUUAUAAAUUUGAUUUAAUUUAUUUUAAACUUAAUAAUUGAGUUUAUUAUGAAUUAAUUAAAUUUAUUUUAUGAAUUUAAUUAAAUUUGUUUUAUAAACCUUAUCAAAUUCAUUUAAUAAAUCUGUUCAAAUUUAUUUUAGACUUGUAAAGUUUACAAUUAGACUUUAUUAAGUUUAUCAUAAAUUUUAUAAAUUUAUUAUUUAAAUUUUUAUAGUAUAUGAUUUAAAUUUAAGUCAAAAUAUAAAAUAUAAAUUUAAGAGGAUUUAACUGAUUAUGGAUAUAAGUUCAAGUUCAAGGGUUCAGUUUAGUUUGUUGUGGAAGCUAUGAUUUAAUUGGAGACGAGACACUUGAAUAUUUUCAAAAAUUAAAUUUAUCUGAUAAAUUUUAAUAUAUUUACUAAACGAAUUUGAAAUAAAUUUGCUCUAAACUUAUUCAAUUUAUUAUGAAUUUAUCUGAAUUUAUUUUUUAAAUAUAAUUAAAUUUACUUUAUAGAUUUAACUAAGUUUAUCUUAUACUUUAUUUUCUUUCAUCUUUUAAAACUUUUUUUAAAUUCAUUUUCUUUAUAAUUUAAACUUAGUUUAAAUAAUCAAGUGUCCCGUAACCUUUUUAAUUAUUCUACUCCAAGACAAAUCAGAUUGACAUUUAGUUGAGACAGAUCAGGCUGACAGAUUACAAGACAAACACCGGGCUUUCAAAUACCAGAUUCUCAGAACCGGUAAUGGAAGUACAUUGAUGACCCAAUCCAAUUGAUUACUCAAAGGAUUAUUAGAAGCAGUUUUCUAUGUUCGACAAAGAUGAUUGUGAUUCGAAGAAGAUUUUAUUGAAGACUAAUUUGGUACUACUAACAGUGGAUUUUGAAGAAGGUACUUCAGGCCUUGAUCUGAGUAAUUACUCCGACUUGAUUAUCAGAUCACCAGAUCAGGAUGGGAAUUUGUUACAUUUGCAAUAAAGCAUCUUUCCAGGGCUCGGAAUGUCAACUUUGAAUGGCACCACUAGUAGUAGGAAAAGAGAAGUUUUUGCAGAAGAAUCUUCAGGGGAUUUCAAUCGAACUCACUGAUUCAGGGAUAUACAAUUACACAGUGAAUUGUAUCAAUGCUAAAUCCAUCCAGAAUCAACUGAACCAAAGAUAGAGAACUAUGGAGGUUUAAGGAUAUAAUUAUCGAGUUACUACCGCACCAAAUCAGUAUUAGAAGCAGUUUUCUAUANUAACACUUUUGAAGAAUGUGAGAACAGAACUUCAAGGAUUAGCAUAACACUGUCUGAGAGGUUUAGUCAUGUCAGAUUCAGAUGGAAUCCAUUGGUUUCAAGUGGUGACUCUUCAGGGUUCAGUUCAGAGAAGUUGUUUUCAGAACUCAGUUGGUCAGUACACACAAUAUUGAUUGGUAUCUUUAGCAAACAAAGGUUGCUAUAUAUAUUGAAGCCUCGACAAACAAGGAUGAUAAGGUUUUUCUGGAAUCUAAGUGGAUGCUUUGAGCAUCAUAACAAGUUCUUAUGCUACAUAGGGAAAGGUGUGAGAUGGAUCUGUUGCUAAGGAGAAUGAUGAUUAUGGCUCACCUCGCACUUCUCAGGUACGAAUUCCUUCUAACUAUGCAAUACUUAUUUCUUUAUAUUCAAAGCAUGUUAUAAAUCUCUGAGUAGAAUUGUUUAAUACACAAGCACAAGCAUGAUAGCAUCACCAUAAAUAAUGUUGAACUAGUAUGCUAGAUCACUUCUCUAGUAACUAGGUUUGAUGAUAAUCUUGUGCAUGUGUCUUUAGCGGAUUCUUAACAUGUGUAUGAAUAUUUAGGAUUUAAUUAUUUGCAAUGGUGAGAUUAGAAGUUUUCCUUUGGAAAACGACUCUUUGUUUUAGGGGUUAUGAUCCUAGCAUAUAUAACUUUGUUAAAACACUUACUUUUAGAUUCCCUAGUACAAUUAGAUUUGUUUAUCUAAUCUAAAUUGUUUGUUAAGGAUUUUAUUUUGUUCUGUGAUGGAAUGUCUACCUUGUGUCAGUAGAACUUUUAGAACUUCAUGUUAGAUAUAAAACUGACUUUGGUAAUAGAGAUAAUAUAAUGCCAUAUAACAACAGAUUGAAAUCAGAUCCUUAUGCUCUUAGAAGAUUAUUGAAUAUAUGUAAUUCUACUUGCUACCUGUUGCACUUGUGUUAAUUGGUCUAAGUAGAGAGUACUGAAUCUUCUGAAUUGCAUAACUUCCUGUCUUGCUCUUGUCUUAUCUUUGAUUGUUUGCCAUGUGUAUUCAACAUCAUGUCUGCUUAUUUUCAUGUCAUGAAUGCAUGUCUUUGUACUUGCAUUGAUUUUAGAAAAGCAUGUUUGAGAAUCACAUUAGGGCAAUGUCUAGAUAAGAAUUAGCAUGUUAAGGUUGCUUCUGUUGUUACCACUGUUAAAGAAAAAUCUCUAAUCCAUCCGGACCCAGUUAUGAUUGGGGACCAUAGAACUCUUUCCAUUUGUGAUUGCAGGUUACAUAUGAUCCAUAUGAUUUUUGGUGCACUCUGUUUGCUGAGUAGCUGAAAUCAUAUGAUUCACCAAAAGUACCCUGUUAGCAAAUGUGAUCGUGUGAGCAGUUCCGUCAAUAAUCUUUGAAAGAUGACAACAAAGAUUCUCUUGCGGGACAUGCCUGUUUUCCUGGAAUGUCAUCAUGGAAGCAUAUCUUUCUUGCAAGGAGUCAAAACACACAUUCUUAGUAUCAGACGGUUCUCUGACAAAGGACAUUAUGUUAGUUCAUGGAAUAGUGUUUUAUCUUAAAUCAGGAAGGAUGUGAAUUUUGCUCGUAGCUAAUAUAGAACUUCAACUGAAGAUGGAGUGAGCUGAUAGUAAAGCUUCAUCAGAUAAGUGUUAGCUAUAACAUCUGAAGCGCUCGCACUUGUAUGUCAAAACAAGGAGUUCUUUCUAUUCGUAAGAAGAGAAUUGGUGAGAGGACUACCUCAUCUGGAAUUCAAUAUGGAUGAAACUUAUGAGGUAUUUCAAUAGGGAAGUCGAAGGAGCAUUGCACAGAAGCAAAGAUAUGAUCAACAUUACUGAGCCGCUUCAGAUGAAACGUAUGGAUUUCUACGAAUCAGCUAAUGUCAUGUCUGCAAACAAAACCAGAUAUCUUUUUGCGAUGAUCGUUGACUACUCUAGACUUUUUUGUGUUGUUCAUAUGUGUUUGAAGGACAAGAUGUCACAAAUGAAGGUUGAUCAAGAUGAACCCUGAUCAUUGAUAAUCCAGAAAGACACCAUUCUUUCCAGUGGUCAAUCAGAAGCAAACACUAACUCUUGGUACGUGUUUGGAGGAAAAUGCCUCUUUGCAAGUCCUGCAUUUGAAGAUCAAAGAAUACUUUCCUCGGCUACUCAAUGGAGUCUACGGUCUACAGGGUGAUUAUUAUUGAUCAACAGAAGGUGAUUGUAAGUCUGGAUGGGACAUUGAACGACACUUUGCUCCAAGCUGUUAAAGGUGAUAUUAUUGGUAUAAUGAUGAUUCAAAUCCAAGUAGAAACUCUUUGCAAGGAUAAGGAUUAUUAAAGAAAUCCCAGAAACAGCUUAGGGGGAGCCUUUGGUGGAUCCACUAGUCAAACUCGACACCACAUUGAAGAUGAACAGGACAUAUAAAAAAAGUAUCUGCUUAGACAAAGGGUUUGAAGUCAAUAUUAUUCUCAGGUUCUAGUUCUUAUAUGUUCCCAAUGGUGAAGUGAAGACUGGGAGAGCUAUUGUCAAAAGAUGUUGCUUCUUUGGGUUUCAAUCUGAAGUGAAACUUGAGGAAGAUUCAGAAGCUCUUAAAGGGAUCCAGAUUGAGUGAUUGCACAACAAGAUGAUCUCAAUUAGUUUAAAAGCAGAUUGUGCGAAUUCUGAAACCCUAACCUAAUGACAACUCAUUACUUAAUACUUGUCGGGUAUUUAGAUUCCAACUGGAUGUUUUUGGCUCUGUUACGAGGGACAAGCCAAUUUGGUUGCUUAGAGUACUUCAAAAGAGAAGGUUAUGAAGAUGAUGGAAAUAGAAUCUUCAAGUUCAGGUUUCUACAUCUUAGGGGACUCAACGACCUUCAUGAUUGAACUAAAGCACCAUUGACGAGACUCGGGUUCAGGAUAUUAUAGUGAGCUAGAAGAUGAAGCUUCAUGCAACAUUUCAAGGACUUUGCAGUUGCAGAGAAUUGAUGGCAAUAAAAGGAAGUCAAGGAUCUUUUGAAUAUGCGCAUUUUGGAAGAUUCUAGACCUGCCAAGACUUAAGCCAACAACCACUGAACUUGAUCAGUACAAGAAAGGUACAUCAACUGAAAUGUCAAGUCUUAGAGGUAUUCAACUCAUCACUUUACUUAACUGCAAAAUGAUCGCAUGUUAUAUUUUCUUUAUGUCAAUGUUCAUGGUUCUGAGUGGAUUUUGGAGAACCUAUCCAUUUAGUUGUUAAGAGGUUUAUAGUUAUUUUUGGGGAUUGACUAAUCUAUUGGAAUGGUACCAUAAAGAUACUGUGCUUAACCUGUACAACUAUAUAGAUAUUGUUUUAUAGAUUGUCAGAAAGACAGGGGAUUUAUACUCUCAAGAAGCUGUCAUUCGUGGAAGGAGGUUGAUUUCUUGUUAUAAUAAGAAGACGUCAAGAAAAAUGAAAUAACUCCAUUUCCAGCAACUCUGUGAAGCACUCUCUACUCCCUGGAACCUAAGGAUCUUGUUAUUGGAACUUAAGGACCUACUGCUCGAUCUAGUGCUCGUUGACAUAAGGUAUUACUUCUUUCAUGAGCAUGUCUAUCGUAUUUCUUGAAUGAAUUCAUGAGUAUUAAAUUGUCUAUACAUAGGACUUGUGAAUUUAUUUAAAAUCCAGUACCUCGUGCUUUUUGCUAUUAUAUGUGAUUGCUAUGUUUAUUGCUUUCCAUGCUUAGAUGGUGAUUAUAUGUUUUAGCAUGAGUGUUUGUUAUUUCAAAUUAUUUAAAUUAUGGUGCAUGACAAUUAAGUGACUUAUUUGUUCAUGAUUUAAAUGAUUAGAGAUGACAUGAAGCAUGAUUUAAUUAUGUUAUUUUCCUUGAACUAUACUUCUUUUAACAAUUGGUAUCUAGUAGAGAACUUUGUCAUAAUCUGGUCGUGACAUAUCUGUAUUUGUGAACAUACUUAGGAUUAUUUUCUAGGUUGAAUUCAUUUUUAUAGGUAUAAAAUCUGAAGCAUGACUUAUUUGUUUCUAGACUUGUGACUUGUAUCAGUAAUUGGUAUGUGGUUAGAAUCUAGUUAGAAUUUAGUCAUGAUAUACUAGUAUUUGUGGAGUUACUUAGAUUCUCUCUAGGCUGAAUCCAUUUAUAUUAGUGUAUAUACUUGAAGCAUAACUAUUUGUGUUGGAUAUUUGAUGAUUUAUUAAUUGAUAUUUUAUUUCAUGUCUAACUGCAUAUAGUUGUGAUACUUUUAGUGUUAGUGAUAUUUUGCAUGCUUAUAUGUAGAUCACUAAUAUUAAUUGUUAAUAUUUUCUGCGAGGAGUUGUGUGAGUUUACUUGUACUCAAUGCUUACAUGUAUAGGACUUGUGAACUUUUCUUCAACAUUCCCUCGGGCUUGCGAAUAUCUUUGUAUGAUUGUCAUGAUUUUAGUUGUUAUAUGCUGAUAUGAUAAUUAUAUGAUAUUGCAUAGGUAAUUAUUAUUUUAUCUUAGUUGAAUUGUGAUCCACAAUUAUAUGCUUAUUUGUUUCAUGAUUAACUUUGAUAGAAUAAUGGAAGCAUGAUUAAUUCAUUUUUUAAAUAUUUAAUUGAUAUCUAUUUUGAUGCUUUAUUGAUGUUUUAUUUUUGAAUUGAUUGUGAUGUAUUGGCACUGGUGAAAUAUUGUUGCAUAUUUCUUAAAACCACUGGUGCUAAUAUAUUUUAGGUGUUUAAUAUUCUGAGUACAAGGGAGACAACAAAAUCUUUAUUUUUUGUCUCAUAUUUAUGUUCAAAAGUGGUGAGUUUCUUCAAAGAAAUUUUCUUAUUAAUUGAUUUUAACAAUUGGUAUCCACUACUCUAUUUCAUAAGUAUUUCUUAGAAUAUUUUGCAUCUAUACAUGUAGCGUCAUAGGACAAGAGAUUGAUUAUCUUGUAUUUGUGUACUUGGUGAUCUUUGUCACUUGCAGCGUCUGUUUUGACGAUGUGCUAGUAUGAUGCCUUUUCACUAAUUAUUGUGGCGAGCGCUUUAUACAUUGUAGCACAUAGAUUUUCUUUUUCCCUUCUAAAAUUGUAGUGAGAAACAGGAGUCUAUGUCUUUUUCAAAGACAAGUUCAUUUAAAUUUUUUAUGCAUAGAUUCAGACUCUCGUACUCAAACUAGUUUUUAAUGGAAAAUUUUGAUUCUUUCAUCGGUUGUGAUUGUCAUUCUUUAUGAAAAUCAUUUUUACAAUCACAACUGAUUCAUUUUUCCUCAAAAGAUUAAAUGCAAUUACUUUCUUUCAAAAUCAUAGAUUUUCUAAAAUGCAUUUAUAUAUCUUUCUGUUCUUCGGAACUUAAUCAGCCUCUUGGCUUUCCUAGAUAGUUAUAAGAUUGAAAACCAACAAUAUUUAUCCUAGACUAUAGAACCAAAUUCAGAACACAUCCCAACUUUCCCCCUGGAGUAAUAAGGAACUUAUUAGACUAGAGGUCAAUGAGGGAGAAACUGUACUUGUUGCAGCAAAUAAGGAUGUGAGGGAUAGUGUACCCACAGCUCUACCUCUCAAGGAGAAAAGGUGUUUUCAAACUUGAGGUAACUGUUGCUCAUCUGUAUUCUCUCAAAAGAAUAUAGAGCUGAAAAGGCAAUAAAACAGUCUCUGGAAUCAUUCUCUCAACAGGAUGAGUCCAUUAAAAUUCGCUCGUUAGCCAGAGUAUCUUGUAUUGAGUCAAGCACAUCAUCAGUAACCACUUUGAUAAAGAGCCUAAACAGAAAAUCUUAUGCACACAAUACAAGAGAGUGCACAGUAAGGUUAAAGGUUUUGUUCCAGAAGCAACUUCUUCAUUUACCAUUUUACGGUAAAUAAGAUGGUUGAUGCCUUUACAGGUGUAAGGAGGAAACGAGGGUCUCAAUUGCCAAAUCUUCAGGAUUCUUGUCUCCCUCCCCAAAUAAUAACAGAUCUGGAUCCAAUCGGAAUGGAUUUCUUAUUUAUAGGAGAUCGGCAACUCUCUGACUAUGAGUCAAUUUAUCGAUGAGUCGGUUGAGGAUCGGGGAUUUACGGAACUCCAUUGCACCGCCAAUGACCUCUCUUGAAGGGGCUAUGGUGAUUUUCUUAUGCAGGUACAAAAGACCAUACUUUGAGUGCUGAGAGAAACACUGUGAGCCAAACACUGAGAGUUAAACACUUAGUGAGAUUCUGAGAAAAACCAGUGAGAUGAUAAAAUGAGAAAUAUGUGAGCUUGAGUGAGUGCAAACACAUAGGAUUUUGAGAAGAGUGAAACACUUGUGAGGUACAUAUAAUAAUAAUUGUUGAAUGCUCACAAGUUGUUGAAAGAAUUGACCGAAGCAACUACGGUUUAUUCUAUUUCACGGUGUGAACUUAUGGUUGAUGAUUCUCUUGAAUCAAGUGUCUUCACAGACAUUGAGGAGGACUUAGGCCUUUUCCAUAAUUAAGCCUUUGUCUAACCUUCCAGAGCAAACAACUCUGGAUCCUUAAUUGGAUAAGCCACUUAGUGGUUGGCAACUUGUGGACCAUGAUUCAGAUUUAUCUAAUGCGCCUGCAGGGACUGGGAAUUACGAACUCCCAUUGCACCACCGGUGACCCCCUAUAAGGGCGGCUAAGGUGAUUUUUCUUUGCAGGUACUCAGCAUUUUUGUAAGCUCAGUAUUUGUGUGGAGGGAUACACUUACAGAACUUGUGAGUGACACCAUUACCCAAAAACCGAGAGAAAAUUGAGUGUUGAGUGAUACACCUGCAGAACAUUUAGUGAGAUAACCACUGAUUACCAAAUUUAUACCUAAAGGCAAAGUUGAUACUUUCACUGAAAUGUUCGACUGACUGCCGUUGGAGCCAUGUUGAAGAUGUUAUCGAAACCUUACUAGGGAUCUAACAAUUGGUAUUGCGACCUAACAAUAUCGGGAAGCUUUAUCAUUUGGUAACACCAAAGGGACACGUUUGUCAAAUUUUACUCAUUACUUUUCCAUAACCCAACCAAAGUAAACCCUUCUUCUGAACCCUUUAUUCGAACCCAGCUUUAGCUUGUUUAGUUCUCUACGGGGAUAUUAUCUAUUUUGGUACAGGAAGUAUUGUACACGUUCCUUGACCAUAUUUGAUACCACCAUAUUUGAUACCACAUAUCUUCGGAGGAUUGCACAACUAAGGGGGAGAAUAUAUUUAGGGGGAGAAUAUAAGAAAGGGGGAAGAAANNNNNNNNNNNNNNNNNNNNNNNNNNNNNNNNNNNNNNNNNNNNNNNNNNNNNNNNNNNNNNNNNNNNNNNNNNNNNNNNNNNNNNNNNNNNNNNNNNNNNNNNNNNNNNNNNNNNNNNNNNNNNNNNNNNNNNNNNNNNNNNNNNNNNNNNNNNNNNNNNNNNNNNNNNNNNNNNNNNNNNNNNNNNNNNNNNNNNNNNNNNNNNNNNNNNNNNNNNNNNNNNNNNNNNNNNNNNNNNNNNNNNNNNNNNNNNNNNNNNNNNNNNNNNNNNNNNNNNNNNNNNNNNNNNNNNNNNNNNNNNNNNNAAGCCUGUAAGUCUAAAUGUAAAGACAACCCUAUCUGUUACAUAGGGAUGAUAACUCAACAAUAGAACAGGACAAGUAAAUAACACUACGCCUGCACCGGAAUCGGAAGAUACGAAGACAAAGGUUGAAGAAGCCAUCUACAGUCUUGAAGGAGUGAGUUCACUGGAAGAAGUUCAUUAAUAUGUUCAUGCCUUAGUGAAGAAUAAAGAUUGAAGUAUUCAAGAUUAUGGAAGCAAUGAAGAUGUUGUCCACGUACUCGAAAGAUUUCAAUGCAACCCCUGAAGCAAGAUAUUUCUGGAUAUCUUGGUUGGUUAUUUAUAAUCAACAAACUGAAGCAUAAACUAACCCAGAACCGACUGAUCAAUGUUUGCUGACAAAGACGGUACAAUGUUUGACUUCAGUGUUAGUCGCUUGUGAACUAGACCAGUGCACUAAGCGUCAGCACGUACGGAGUUUGCAAAGUAUUUAUCAAUCGAAGAAUUGAUCCAGUCAUAACAAGUCAUUUGUUCCAAAGCCAAGCCAAGCCAAAAACCUUGUCUCCAUCAGCUAUGCCAAAGCUUACUGCUCAACUGCCAUAUGUCAUGCUUACAGAGUGAUCCAUAUGCAUGGGGAAGUGAACUAUCUUUUAUAUGUGUGCACUUAUAUAUUUGUAUAUGUACAUAUAUAAUUAUAUAUGUAUAUAUGUAUAUUUAAUUAAAUAUAAUAUAUAUAAUAUAUAUGUAUAUAUGUUUUUAAACAUAUGUAUCUGUAUAUUUAUAUCUAUAUAUAUUUAAAUAAAUAUAUAUGUGUAUAGUAUAUGUAUUCAUAUUUUAUAUAAAAAUUUAUAUAUUUAAGUGCGUAUAUAUAUUAUAUUAUGUGCAUAAAUAUAUCUAUAUUUAGAGAGAGUUAUAUAUAUCUUUAUAUAUAUAUUUAUAUUUAUAUUUACACAUAGUUAUAUGUAUAUUAUAUAUAUUUAAAUAUAUGAGAAUAUAUUUAAAUAUAUGUGUAUAUAUACUGGCUGGCCAUCAAGAAUCGCUUGUUAACUAAGGAUAAAAUGAGGUUGUUUGAGAUGCAGGUUGAUCCUCGAUGUGUUCUGUGUAAUGGGGGCUUGGAAUCUUCUCACCAUUUAUUCUCUAACUGUCCUUUCUUUGCGGCCUUGCGUGCUGAGAGUCCAGUUCAGUUCAAUGCUGAUUGGGAUUUAUGCAGAACUGGUGCUUUUUUUAUUGGUAACACUAGCAGAAUUAAGAAAAGGAUUGGUGGAUUGUUUAUUGCAGUUGCUAUCUACCACACCUGGAAGGAGAGAAAUUUCAGAAUUCAUAAUGUUGGUAAACAUAAUUCCCCAUCAAGAGUCCUGCUGCGUGUUAAGGAAAUGGUCCGGGAAAGACUAUUUUCCUGUAACAGCUUCAAGAGAAUGGCUGCCAAUCAUCCUGGCAUCAUCCCAUUGCUUUAUUAGAUGUUAUUUCUAGAUAGUCUGUUGUAGUGCUGUAGUGUUGUUGUCUAGUUGGUGAGUUAAUCUUCUAUCUGUUGUCUCCUUGAGUUUCUUAUGCUUGCUCCUAGUUAGGGAAUUUCCUGUGUUAUCGUAUUUCUUUCUCCAGGGGCUUGCCCUCUGGAUCUUGUAUUAGUGUUUCCGUUUUUUCAAUAAAUUUUAUUUAGCAAAAAAAAUAUAUAUUAUAUAUAUGUAUAUAUAUUUAUAUAUACUUUUCUUUAUAUAUUUAUGUUUUUAUUUAUAUUUAUAAAUAACUAUAUAUAUAUAUAUUUAUAUAUAUUUGUAUUUACAUAUAAUUAUAUAUUUACUGAUAGAAUCAACGGCUCAUAUUAAGUCUCUCUAGUCUCUUGAUAAGGGGCGUCUCCCCCUAUAUAUAUUUAUAUAUAUUUGUAUGUACAUAUAAUUAUAUAUUAUAUAUAUAUAUUUGAAUAUAUGAGAAUAUAUUUAAAUAUAUGUACAUAUAUAUUAUUAUAUGUUCAUAUAAAUAAUAUAUAUAUGUGUGUAUAUAUUUAUAUAUACUUUUAUUUAUUAAAUAAACACAACAUAAUAUAUUAUAUUAUAUUAUAUAUUAUAUACAUGCAUAUUGGGAUGAUGUCAUGUGUCUACUACAGUACAACCUAGGGUUUGCAUGUGCAUGUGAUGUCAUGUGUCCUAGGGUUUCACUGUGAAUACAAGGAAUGCACCAGCUAGCACGGAGAGAUAACAUGAAGAUCUUGUUGUGGCGCAAGUUACAUGUUAUAUGAAAUAGACUAAGGCAUGAAAUCAUCAGUAGUACACAGGGCUCCUUUGAGCGCAAGUUGAAGAGAGAGAAGGCUGAAGCACAGGAAAUAGUUUUAAGCGCCACUUGCAGCUGUUGGAUUUUUCCUAAGGCAGAUACUACGUAUAGUGGUAUAGUGUGAAGGAUGUAAGCGCAAGUUGACACUCUAAAGCACAUGGAUAUAAAUGCAGCGCAACUUGUUAACCCAGGAGUGAUAACAGAUAUCACAUGAACACAUUAGCGCAAACUCACCCCCUUUGGCGCAAAUUCAUGUUCAAGCGCAUGUUCAAGACUAAGGAGAGAGAACAGUGUGACCUGUUGCACCCCAAGCGCAACUACACUUUACUUAGAAUAAUUUUCUAAGUACAAGUGACCCUAAGUGAUCACUCUUGGCGCAAGUUCACAUCAGGUGGCGCCAAUUCAAUUAUUUCUUGAUUUUAACUAAGUCAAAAUGACUCAUAGUGAACACACGAGGCGCAAGUGCAAGGAGGAGAAAAUUCCGGGACCAACUCAAGUUUUAACCACAGUUAAUUUAAAUUCGUCCAGGACGAACUCAAUUCGUCUAGGACGAACUCGUUAACCAUGUUUAGUUUAUGAAAAGCCUAUAAAUACCCCAUGUGUGUUCUCACAAUUGUAACACACACACUCUUGACACAUAUUGUACAAACUCUAUCCACACAACCCCUUAGCUUAGCACACCAAAAGAAAUAUAUUUUUAGAAGCUAGGGGUUGUAGUGUUUGUAUCAAUAGUCAUUGUAGCCAACCUAUGGAAUCUGAUUUAUAGCACCCUUCGAGGUAUUUAUCAAUAUACACAUAUACCUUGGAAAAUAUUGUGUGUUGGUUUAAUAUUUUCAUAUCCUCAGAAACCGACCCAAUAAAUAUCCGGAACACAAAACCCAUUACAAGACUGCAAUUUAUUUAUCCGCAAGAUUCGAAAGAAUUUUAAAUUGUAGUGAGUAUCGUAUUCAACCCCCCCUUCUACGAUACUUUGGACCUAACA